UGGAGGAACAACCCCAGUGGCUGCGGCAGCUCUGGAGCCCUGGAGUCAGCUCCCGCAGGAACUACAGAGCUCUCAGUCUGCAGGGCCUGGAGGCUCUGGCGCGGG
This 105-nucleotide microRNA precursor is filed under the name Canis lupus familiaris (dog). RNAcentral's name for it is "mir-8834 microRNA precursor family". It matches the Rfam family "mir-8834 microRNA precursor family". The record is from Rfam by way of RNAcentral. Lineage: Eukaryota; Metazoa; Chordata; Mammalia; Carnivora; Canidae.